Molecule: microRNA precursor, 168 nt
Filed under: Oryza sativa Indica Group (long-grained rice)
Lineage: Eukaryota; Viridiplantae; Streptophyta; Magnoliopsida; Poales; Poaceae
Also listed under: 1 other name
Description: osa-MIR1868
Source: RNAcentral
GGAAAGGCUUUGUAAAACACACUAUUUGACAGUUUGGAAAGCGUGCUCACGGAAAACGAGGGAGCAGCCAAGGCAUUGUUCUUACCGGUUUAUGAAUUGGCUACUUCCUCGUUUUCCGUAAACACGCUUCCCGAGCUUCUAAACGGUGUGUUUCUUGCAAAAACUUUA